This 497-nucleotide ribosomal RNA is filed under the name uncultured bacterium. Its description in RNAcentral is "partial 16S ribosomal RNA". It matches the Rfam family "Bacterial small subunit ribosomal RNA", at positions 28 to 507 of the family's 1533-position model. The record is from RNAcentral.
GAUGAACGCCGGCGGCGUGCCUAAUACAUGCAAGUCGAGCGAACGGACGAGAAGCUUGCUUCUCUGAUGUUAGCGGCGGACGGGUGAGUAACACGUGGAUAACCUACCUAUAAGACUGGGAUAACUUCGGGAAACCGGAGCUAAUACCGGAUAAUAUUUUGAACCGCAUGGUUCAAAAGUGAAAGACGGUCUUGCUGUCACUUAUAGAUGGAUCCGCGCUGCAUUAGCUAGUUGGUAAGGUAACGGCUUACCAAGGCAACGAUGCAUAGCCGACCUGAGAGGGAGGUCGGCCACACUGGAACUGAGACACGGUCCAGACUCCUACAGGGGGCAACAGUAGAGAAUCUUCCGCGAUGGACGAGAGCCUGACAGAGCAACGCCGCGUAAAUGAUGAAGGUCUUCGGAUCGGAAAACUAUGUUAUUAGGGAAGAACAUAUGUGUAAGUAACUGUGAACAUCUUGACGGUACCUAAUCAGAAAGCCACGGCUAACUACGUG